Colletotrichum phormii is the source of this 104-nucleotide non-coding RNA. The record is from the annotation of a RefSeq genome assembly. Lineage: Eukaryota; Fungi; Ascomycota; Sordariomycetes; Glomerellales; Glomerellaceae.
GGUCUGGUGGUGUAGUUGGUUAUCACGUCAGUCUAACACCUCGAGCGUUCUACGACGCCUCGCCUGUUCACUGAAGGUCUCCGGUUCAAGUCCGGGCUAGAUCA